UACGAAGGGGGCGAGCGUUGUUCGGAAUUACUGGGCAUAAAGCGCACGUAGGCGGCAUAUCAAGUUAGGAGUGAAAGCCCCGGGCUUAACCCGGGAACCGCUCUUAAUACUGAUGUGCUUGAGUAUGGGAGAGGAUAGCGGAAUUCCCAGUGUAGAGGUGAAAUUCGUAGAUAUUGGGAGGAACACCAGUGACGAAAGUGGCUAUCUGGACCAUUACUGACGCUGAGGUGCGAAAGCGUGGGGAUCAAACAGG
RNAcentral lists this ribosomal RNA (253 nucleotides) under uncultured bacterium. RNAcentral's name for it is "partial 16S ribosomal RNA". It matches the Rfam family "Bacterial small subunit ribosomal RNA", at positions 524 to 776 of the family's 1533-position model. The record is from RNAcentral.